UCCUGGCUCAGAUUGAACGCUGGCGGCAGGCCUAACACAUGCAAGUCGGACGGUAGCACAGAGAGCUUGCUCUUGGGUGACGAGUGGCGGACGGGUGAGUAAUGUCUGGGGAUCUGCCCGAUAGAGGGGGAUAACCACUGGAAACGGUGGCUAAUACCGCAUAACGUCGCAAGACCAAAGAGGGGGACCUUCGGGCCUCUCACUAUCGGAUGAACCCAGAUGGGAUUAGCUAGUAGGCGGGGUAAUGGCCCACCUAGGCGACGAUCCCUAGCUGGUCUGAGAGGAUGACCAGCCACACUGGAACUGAGACACGGUCCAGACUCCUACGGGAGGCAGCAGUGGGGAAUAUUGCACAAUGGGCGCAAGCCUGAUGCAGCCAUGCCGCGUGUAUGAAGAAGGCCUUCGGGUUGUAAAGUACUUUCAGCGGGGAGGAAGGCGAUGGGGUUAAUAACCUUAUCGAUUGACGUUACCCGCAGAAGAAGCACCGGCUAACUCCGUG
RNAcentral lists this ribosomal RNA (499 nucleotides) under uncultured Pantoea sp. Its description in RNAcentral is "bacterial SSU rRNA". It matches the Rfam family "Bacterial small subunit ribosomal RNA", at positions 17 to 507 of the family's 1533-position model. The record is from RNAcentral. Lineage: Bacteria; Pseudomonadati; Pseudomonadota; Gammaproteobacteria; Enterobacterales; Erwiniaceae.